UUCCGGUUGAUCCCGCCGGACCUGACUGCUAUCGGAUUGAUACUAAGCCAUGUGAGUCAUUGUAGCAAUACAAGGCAGACGGCUCAGUAACACGUAGUCAAUCUACCCUAUGGACGGGGAUAACCUCGGGAAACUGAGGAUAACACCCGAUAGAUCAUUAUUCCUGGAACGGUUUAUGGUCCAAAUGAUUCGUCGCCGUAGGAUGGGACUGCGGCCUAUCAGCUUGUUGGUGAGGUAAUGGCCCACCAAGGCUAUUACAGGUACGGGCUCUGAGAGGAGAAGCCAGGAGAUGGGUACUGAGACACGGACCCAGGCCCUAUGGGGCGCAGCAGGCGAGAAAACUUUGCAAUGUGCGCAAGCACGACAAGGUUAAUCCGAGUGUUUCCUGCUAAAGGAAUCUUUUGUUAGUUGUAAAACCACUAUCGAAUAAGGGGUGGGCAAGUUCUGGUGUCAGCCGCCGCGGUAAAACCAGCACCUCAAGUGGUCAGGAGGAUUAUUGGGCCUAAAGCAUCCGUAGCCUGUUCUAUAAGUUUCCGGUUAAAUCCAUUAGCUCAACUAAUGGGCCGCCGAAAAUACUGUAGAACUAGGGAGUGGGAGAGGUAGACGGUAUUCGGUAGGAAGGGGUAAAAUCCUUUGAUCUAUUGAGGACCACCUGUGGCGAAGGCGGUCUACCAGAACACGUUCGACGGUGAGGGAUGAAAGCUGGGGGAGCAAACCGGAUUAGAUACCCGGGUAGUCCCAGCUGUAAACGAUGCAGACUCGGUGAUGCGCUGGCUUGUGGCCAGUGCAGUGCCGCAGGGAAGCCGUUAAGUUUGCCGCCUGGGGAAGUACGUACGCAAGUAUGAACUUAAAGGAAUUGGCGGGGGAGCACCACAAGGGGUGAAGCCUGCGGUUCAAUUGGAUUCAACGCCGGG
This 914-nucleotide ribosomal RNA is filed under the name uncultured archaeon. Its description in RNAcentral is "bacterial SSU rRNA". It matches the Rfam family "Archaeal small subunit ribosomal RNA", at positions 1 to 922 of the family's 1478-position model. The record is from RNAcentral.